Molecule: transfer RNA, 69 nt
Filed under: marine eukaryotic metagenome
Rfam family: tRNA
About the family: Transfer RNA (tRNA) molecules are approximately 80 nucleotides in length.
Source: RNAcentral
CCUGUAGCUCAGAUGGAUAGAGUGUUGGCCUCCGAAGCCAAAGGUCGUGGGUUCGACUCCCGCCAGGCG